UACGGGGGGGGCUAGCGUUGUUCGGAAUUACUGGGCGUAAAGGGCGCGUAGGCGGUCUGCUAAGUUGGAUGUGAAAACUCUGGGCUUAACCCAGAGCCUGCAUUCAAUACUGACAGGCUAGAGUUCUGGAGGGGAUAGCGGAAUUCCUGGUGUAGCGGUGAAAUGCGUAGAUAUCGGGAGGAACACCAGUGGCGAAGGCGGCUUCUUGGCCUGUUCUUGACGCUGAGGCGCGAAAGCUAGGGGAGCAAACGGG
This 253-nucleotide ribosomal RNA is filed under the name uncultured bacterium. RNAcentral describes it as "partial 16S ribosomal RNA". It matches the Rfam family "Bacterial small subunit ribosomal RNA", at positions 524 to 776 of the family's 1533-position model. The record is from RNAcentral.